Molecule: long non-coding RNA, 6368 nt
Organism: Anolis carolinensis (green anole)
Lineage: Eukaryota; Metazoa; Chordata; Lepidosauria; Squamata; Anolidae
Exons: 2
Source: RefSeq, a predicted model, not a curated record
UCCUAGGACUCCCUGUGGCCCCAUCCACACAGGGCCUAUAGCUCAUUAGACCCAGGCCAUUCACAAAGGCACGGGUCUAAUAGGUUAUCAAAUUAAUUUAGGAUAAAGCACAGUUUUCCUGCUUUGUCUUGAAUUAAUUCUUCUUUACUGGAGGUGCCAUUUGAAUGCCUCCAGUAAAAACACGAGAGGGCCUGGGAUAUUGGCCCUGCCUGGAUGGGGCCCUUGGCUACUAGGAGAGAAACCCCCUCCUCCUCCUCCUCCUCUUGGCCCAUGAUCCUGACAACCAGUGACAUUUGUGGAGGUCAUAAUGCAAGGAGUAAAACUAAGGAUGCCCAAAUGACUCAUGUAGAAAACUGCAUGUGUCAUAAUCUCAGGAGAACUAGGCAAACCUAAGUAAGUCAAGGCAACCAGUGAAGUUGAAAAGCUUUUAAGCCUAUUUAGCCAGAUUUGAAGGAUUUAUGGAGAGGACAAUUAGACACAGAUGGAAGCUUUUUCAUAAUCUUUCCCUAUAUAUUUAUUAUUAUUAUUAUUUGAAUCUGAAGCAUCUCUUUUUAAAAGGAACAGCAGAACCACUUAUUUCAAAAGGAUAUGUGAAAUAUAAAAACCUUCAGUAUUUUUUUAAAAAAUCACCCCCUUUUUAAUAUAAAAAGUAAAAAUGCUUUGUCAUCAUCAAAGAGUUACUCUUCCUACAGAAUCCUGUGUUGAAAGCUACUUUGGAUUCAGGAUAUGUAAAAUGAAUGUUUUUCUGUGAACAUACUGUGAUUAUAUAGAGAGAAACAUUUAAAGCCAAUGAAUGGUGGUUUAUUUAGCCCAGCCAUUUUGCUAUGUAAUUAAUCCCAAUAUGCUAACAGGUUUUGUCUAAGUUGUAUAAGUAGUAGAAAUAAAUUAAAUCCUUUCACUGAAAUUUAAAUUUAGUAUUUACUUGCAGCCUGAAAUAGCUACAGACUGCAAAACUUCAUAAUACAACAUUUUGGUUCCCAUUAGAAGUUCCUAAAAUAAAACCUCAUUUUCCCCCAGCUGAGUAAUUCUUACAUGCUAAUAUUUAAGUUUCAUUUUCAAAAAGAAAUGUGGGGGAGAGGUAUUUUCUAUGCUGCAAAAAUUGUACAAAAGAUAUACACUCCCCUUGCUGGGAUCAAAGGAGAUAUGGAAGUAGACACAGCUUUUAUUGAAUUGCCUCCCCCGAACACAUGCAAAGUGCUGAGGUUGUGUUGUGUGUGCAUUUUUAGGUUGAUGCCUAGAAAUGACUUAUUUGGCUAAAUUCAGUUGCCCUAGCACUCCCCUCCUCAGUUCAACUUGAAUUAGAAAAAGUGGCUGCCUCAUUUUGUCAAAUGACAGGACCAAUCCUGGACUUAGGUAAAAGAAGAACAUGACAGGAAUCAACAAAAGGCUGAGCAGAAGCAAAGACUCCCUUAAUGGUGAAUGAGGAUUGGGAAACUGGAGGUUGAAAGCAAAGAAGCAGAGUGCUUAUACAGUAAUGUCAUGAACUAUUAUAGGGGAGAAGUUUGAUCUUAGGGCCUGGUUGAUAAGGAUUUGUAGAUUAAUGGCAGUGGUGAUACAUAUAUUGCUCUGAAAAGGGCUGCAUUUUACAGUAGCCUCCAUUUUCUUAACAGCAUCUAUAUUCCUGGUAACUGGUACCAUUAAUAGUGUGUUCAGUAGAAUGCUUCUUAUCAUAUCAUUUCGGUAUAUGGAAUAUUGUUGGGAUAACUGAGGUGUGAGGAAAGGCAGAUUUCUGAAUCUAGAAUCCAACGGUGUAAAUUUCUUUGUGCUGACACAUACUUAAAAAUACAUUGCAGAUGAUUUAGAUUUUAUAGUUGAAAGAGUAAGUCUGUGAUAGAAAUUAUAUCAUGAAGGACACAGAACUAAAAAAAACAAAACCUAAAACCCAUGGAUUUAUUUUCUCAUAAUUCUGCUCUUCCCCAUGUGCCCCUCUGAACUUUUAAAACUGAGUAUUAAUUGUCUCCAAUUUGAUAUCACUCUAGAUCCAUUGGCUGCAAUUACAGCCAGACCCAAAAGUAUGCAGGAGACUCCCCAGCCUUUUCUCUUUUCCAUUCUAAGUGGCUACUACCUUGUUGAAUUCUGUCCCUGCUAUUAACAAUGCAACGGAUAUUUAUGCAGGAUUUAUUUGAGUUAUUUCCCAGAACUGAGAUACAGAUAAACAUGCAGAAUGCAACUCUCAUGCAUAUGGGGGUUUGGGGUGGGAAAAACAUAUACCAAAGAAAAUAGGGGAAAACAUUCAAAAGAAUUCUGCAUACAAUAUUUUAGCUUAACCUCUGUACACAUUAGUUAACUUGAGAUCUUCUACUUUUUCAGCCCCAAUCCAUAUGUUUAAUUUCAACUUGUGAUUAAUAAACAAAUAUUAAAAUUAACUCUACAUAUUAAGCUCUCCACAUUUCCUUUUCAGGUCACAGAUGUAAGGAAAGGCAAAAUUGCAUCUAUGGAGUUAAACCACACACUUUCUAAUAGUGGUAAUGCCACUUAUUCUCAGGGUGCAUGGGAACAUAAAGUGUAUUCUACAAAUUCAUUCAUUACUUUAAAGAGUAAAUAAAAAGGAAAAUAGUGGUGAUAUAAUAACCACACUUUUGUGGUUGGUAAUUCACAUAUUCAGAAUCUGUGUUCUAAGAAGUGACUGGACUUAUAAGCUCUGAAACACUGAACAAAUGAAAACUGAAUCUAGACUACAGUCACAAAAUCCAACUCCCUAUCACAUGCUGGUAUAAUAGAGAGAUUUGAGCAUGUCCAAGGUUGUCUUUACUUUGCUUCUGUUCAAGUCUCGAUAUUAUAGGGGCAGAAAGAGUAUUAGCAUACAGCUCCUUUUGUCUGAGAAUUCAAGGGCUUCCUUUAUUAUCAAAAUCACAUCAUAAAUAUUACUUUGGCGGGCUAACUACAUUCUAAAAAUGGCAAAGGUUGAAUUAUGACUCAUGCUCAAGUUCAUGUGAAUUAUUAUUCUAUAAUUUAUAACUGUUAUGCCUCUUUGCAUAUUUAAAGAAAAAGGUACAGGAUGAAUAUUGCAAAGUGAAACAAAUAAUAGCUUUCAAAAUGGCAAGUUCAUACCAAUAGUUUAUGAGCUGAGGUGGCAAUGAAUUUUGCAACACUUAAGUUAGUCUUUUAAAAAUCAGUAUAAAUAAAUAAUAAGGAAAGCAAGUUAGGAUGAAUACUUAGUACCCCAUGAGAUGCAAUUCAUUUAUAGCUAAAAUUUAUAAUUUUAUCCCUACAUUAAAAUAUCACUGCAAUACAUAAGUAAAAAAGGAUAUUAAGUUGUUAAUUAUUUUAAAAGUGUUAAGAUAUUAUUUUAGACAUGUAUUCCAGACUCCUACAGUUGGUCUUUCAUAACCACAGAGUCUGCAUCCAUGAAUUCAGCCAUUCGCAGCUUGAAAAUAUUUAAAAGAUCAAAAAUACACCUUGGUUUUGUCAUUUAAUAUAAAGUACACCAUUUACUACACCACUGUACAUCCUGAGACAUGAACACAUGCACAGAUUUUGGUAACUGUGUGGAUCCUGGAACAAAACCUCAAAUCAAGAGCCCACGGUAUAAGCUUUAUUUUUCAUUGUAUCGAGGUAAGUUCUAUUUAUCCAUAUAUUUUGAUGGAAAACAGCUACCAGAUUGACACUUUGUUGAGAAAUUUUAAGGAGUAUUGUAAAUAUUGAGAAAUUACAAAUAUCUGUAUUUCUAAAAAAAAACUUUAAAAUUAUAACAGAGAUAUGUGUGUGUUUGUAUGCAUGCACUGUGUACUUGUAGAUACUAUUCUGGAUGCCUAACUAAAUAUAUCAAGUAUCUGAUUCAUGAUUAGCUGAGGGAGGAAAGCCAUCAGGUGAGAAGAAUCAUCAUAUAGUACAGGGUUUCCUCCAAGGUUUUUUCCUUUCAACAGCCUGAUCAGCAGAAGUGGGGAGGAAACGGGUGAGGUAAUUUUAAACAGGGGGAAUCCAUGAACCUAAAAAAGGGAUUUCUUAACUCAAAAUGAUGGAAUGAAAGGUCUCCUAUACAGAAUUUAUUUAUUUAUUUACAAUAUUUAUAUUCCGCCCUUCUCAGCCUGAAGGGGACUCAGAGUGCAUCAAAAUGCACAAAUACAUGGCAAACAUUUAGUGCCAUUAUGAGACGUACAACACACAUAAAGACAGUAGAGGUAAUUCAACAUUUUCCAACUUUCGGCUUCAGGAACUUAUGCUCGAUUCAGCCACAGGGGGAGCUGUCAUUUAAUCCACUAUGAUGCCAAGUCCAUUUUGAUCACAGCAUUUCCUCCUUGCUCUUCACUUCCCCACAGUUUUAUGGCAUCAUAAAUUAAAUUAACCUCCCCAUAUAACCAGUCCCUAAUUUUCUCUACUCAUAGCUGCAGCUGUUUUUGAACUGUUUAGGUGGACAGUAAGCUAGGCUAUUAAACGGUUGGGUGCUAAAUCCAACAUGGGCUUCAAACUCAUGACCUUUUGGUCAGCAGUGAUCUAUUGCAGCUGGCUAUUAACCAGCUGCACCACAGCCCAGAAUUCAAGCAUAUUCUGUUUCUUAACCAGAAAGGCCUCAAGUGCCCACCCAAAAAGCUUCCAUUGUGUUCUAUCAUGGGAAGAGGGCAAGGAAAUAUGAAACAAGAAAUAAAACAAGUUGCUUUAACUAUCUAACUUUUUUUUCAUUCCCUCCAGGCACAAGUUCACAAAUAAUUCCAAUAAUUAUGAUAUAAUUUCCAAGAAAGAAAUGACAUUAUAUGGAACUUCUCCGCUGAAGACCAUGCUCUGGGAAGCUCAGACAGUCCAGUUUUCCUUUCCCCCUUAAAAAACUGGAAAAAGAAGGACACAUCUGGCAAACAGUUCAAUAUUAUAUCUUGAAACAAACAUUUUUCAAGGAUAGGGACUCAACAGGAAAAAGGAUUAAGUGAUAAAGAGAGAGACUCCUUCAUGAAACUCAACCUCUCUUAUGUGGCAAAUCUCACUUUUAAAGGAUUGAUACAAUUUUAUGAAGUCAUUGUGACCUUCCAGAUGAGUUGGACAAAUGCCAUCAUCCUUCAGUUUUGAUUAUCUUGUUUAGGACUGAUGAAAGUUGGUCAAGCAACUUAUGAAGAAGUUGGACUAUGGGGUGAUGUACUGUGGGGUGUCAGUCUGUGGAUAUGACUAGGUAAUGUCAUUCUGUUCACUGUGGGAAUCUCAAGCCUGCACCUCAGUGUAAAAAUGCAACUAUACUUUUGUGGAUAUGGAGUGGGUAGAUGAAUAUAGAUGAAAGGUUGUGGGUUACUUUACCUCAAAAGAGAUGCUGCUAGUGUUAGAUGUGCUAGUCCUGGAUCAGAACACUGCCUGAUAGGCUUGUUCUAAAAUUUUGGAGGUGUUGUAAGUUGUAUUAAAAUCCAUUAAAUCUGUAUUUCCAAAGUGAUAUCCAACACGGGGGCAUGGCCUGCGCUUAAAACUUAAGAAUCAAAACUUACCCAGUCCUUUUUAAUUUUACUUUUGCAAUGUUCAGAAGCCUCCCAAAGUCAGUUUCAUAUUCAUGGCAAGCAACCAAAAAGGCUGCAUUUUCUCUUUAAAUUAAUUGCAUCUCACCAUUAGAAGAGGAAAAGCAGGGGGAAAGCAAAGUUUGUGGAGGGGGGGGGGAGCACAGAAGUCUGGGAAAUGUAGUUUGGGAAGUCAGAGUUCCAAUAAAUUUUUUAAUCUGCAAAGAGGACAACUGUCUGACACUUCUAGAAAGUAAAUCAGUGCUGGACUGGGAAGAAACCUCCAAAUGGAUGGCCCUUGGGGUUCCUUGUGUUCUAUCACUGUAGCAAGUUUCACCCCAAUAGGUGUACAAAUGAGGGAGAAAGGGUGAAAGGAGCCCCUGAAGUUUCUCCAAUGAUAGUAAUUAUGCACAAUUACUAUAACACAAAAGUAACAAAAUUUAAUUCUUGUUAUAGUAACUGAAUCUUAUUAAGCAGAUUUAUUCCUUCACAUUCAUGAGUUAUCUGAAAACUAUCCUAGUAUAAUGGUAUCACCUUAUACAGCUGUUUGAAGAUUUAUGGCCUGUUACACAAAUUGGUUUUUCCUGUAUCCUGCUAUGCUUUGAUUCCAUAGCAACAACUGUAUAGCUGCUAAUUUAGCUGAGGACAGCAGCACAUCAGAAGAAAUUGAUUUAUACAAUCCAUCAAAUCUCAUACUAAAUAAACUAAUCUUAAAUAUGCUGUUAAAGGAGCCAACAUGGUAUAGUUGUUUAAGUGUAGGACUAUGACCCUGAAGACCAGGGUUCAAAUCCCAGGUUGAUAUGAAACCCAGUCACACUCUCUCUAACUUAGUGGAAGGCAAUGGCAAAUCUUUUAUUUAACAAAUCCAAGAAAAUUCUGUGAUAGACCCACCUUAGAGUUGUUAUAGGUUAGAAAAGACUUGAAGGUACACAACAAUAAAAGAUUCACUAUUUUCCCCUA